GGAGCAUGUGGCUUAAUUCGACGCAACGCGAAGAACCUUACCAAGGCUUGACAUACACCGGAAACGUCCAGAGAUGGGCGCCCCCUUGUGGUCGGUGUACAGGUGGUGCAUGGCUGUCGUCAGCUCGUGUCGUGAGAUGUUGGGUUAAGUCCCGCAACGAGCGCAACCCUUGUCCCGUGUUGCCAGCAGGCCCUUGUGGUGCUGGGGACUCACGGGAGACCGCCGGGGUCAACUCGGAGGAAGGUGGGGACGACGUCAAGUCAUCAUGCCCCUUAUGUCUUGGGCUGCACACGUGCUACAAUGGCCGGUACAAUGAGCUGCGAUACCGCGAGGUGGAGCGAAUCUCAAAAAGCCGGUGUCAGUUCGGAUUGGGGUUUGCAACUCGACCCCAUGAAGUCGGAGUCGCUAGUAAUCGCAGAUCAGCAUUGCUGCGGUGAAUACGUUCCCGGGCCUUGUACACACCGCCCGUCACGUCACGAAAGUCGGUAACACCCGAAGCCGGUGGCCCAACCCCCUUGUGGGGAGGGACCUGUCGAAGGUGGGACUGGCGAUUCGGACGACGUCGUAACAAGGUAGCCGUCCCGGACGAGCCGGUUGGAUCACCUCCAGGUAUGGGCGAUUAGCUAGGAAAGCGACAUUU
RNAcentral lists this ribosomal RNA (640 nucleotides) under Streptomyces sp. RNAcentral's name for it is "bacterial SSU rRNA". It matches the Rfam family "Bacterial small subunit ribosomal RNA", at positions 934 to 1533 of the family's 1533-position model. Lineage: Bacteria; Bacillati; Actinomycetota; Actinomycetes; Kitasatosporales; Streptomycetaceae. The record is from RNAcentral.